RNAcentral lists this ribosomal RNA (424 nucleotides) under uncultured bacterium. Its description in RNAcentral is "partial 16S ribosomal RNA". It matches the Rfam family "Bacterial small subunit ribosomal RNA", at positions 360 to 776 of the family's 1533-position model. The record is from RNAcentral.
AAUCCUGGACAAUGGGCGCAAGCCUGAUCCAGCUAUGCCGCGUGAGUGAAGAAGGCCCUCGGGUUGUAAAGCACUCUCUGACGGUAAGAAACCGCGCAAGCUAUUACUCUGGCCGGUCGCCGGUACGGGUCUAAGAAUCCCCGGGCAACUAUCUGGCAGAAGCCGCGUUAAUACGUAGGGUGCGAGCGUUAAUCGGAAUUUCUGGGCGUAAAGCGUGCGCAAGAGGUUGAUUAAGACAGGCGUGAGAGCCCCGGGCUUAACCUGGGAACUGCGCUUGUGACUGGUCAGCUAGAGUACGGCAGAGGGGGGUGGAAUACAACGUGUAGCAGUGAAAUGCGUAGAGAUGCGGAGGAACACCGAUGGCGAAGGCAGCCCCCUGGGCCGAUACUGACGCUCAUGCACGAAAGCGUGGGUAGCAAACAGG